This 363-nucleotide transfer-messenger RNA is filed under the name Salmonella enterica subsp. enterica serovar Infantis. It matches the Rfam family "transfer-messenger RNA". From Rfam's summary of the family: Bacterial tmRNA, also known as 10Sa RNA or SsrA, is named for its dual tRNA and mRNA-like properties. Its role is to liberate the mRNA from a stalled ribosome. To accomplish this part of the tmRNA is used as a reading frame that ends in a translation stop signal. RNAcentral also lists the same sequence under 341 other names. Lineage: Bacteria; Pseudomonadati; Pseudomonadota; Gammaproteobacteria; Enterobacterales; Enterobacteriaceae. The record is from RNAcentral.
GGGGCUGAUUCUGGAUUCGACGGGAUUUGCGAAACCCAAGGUGCAUGCCGAGGGGCGGUUGGCCUCGUAAAAAGCCGCAAAAAAAUAGUCGCAAACGACGAAAACUACGCUUUAGCAGCUUAAUAACCUGCUUAGAGCCCUCUCUCCCUAGCCUCCGCUCUUAGGACGGGGAUCAAGAGAGGUCAAACCCAAAAGAGAUCGCGUGGAUGCCCUGCCUGGGGUUGAAGCGUUAAAACGAAUCAGGCUAGUCUGGUAGUGGCGUGUCCGUCCGCAGGUGCCAGGCGAAUGUAAAGACUGACUAAGCAUGUAGUACCGAGGAUGUAGGAAUUUCGGACGCGGGUUCAACUCCCGCCAGCUCCACCA